This 705-nucleotide ribosomal RNA is filed under the name Gossypium hirsutum (cotton). Its description in RNAcentral is "eukaryotic LSU rRNA". The stretch from base 293 to 448 matches the Rfam family "5.8S ribosomal RNA". Lineage: Eukaryota; Viridiplantae; Streptophyta; Magnoliopsida; Malvales; Malvaceae. The record is from RNAcentral.
CCUGCCUAGCAGAACGACCCGCGAACGCGUUGCAAACAACACCGGAGGUGGUGCGGGUGCAUCCUCGCCUCUCGCCACCCCCGUGUCUCGGAGCGGCCAGUCUCGUCGUCCCUUUGCCCGUCGGGUGGGGUGAGAUGCCGGGAUCAACCUCUUCGAGGCAAAGCGAACAAACCCCCGGCGCGAAUCGCGCCAAGGAAUCGAAACGAAAGAAGGGGCACGUCUUCUGUCGCCGCACCGUUCGCGGUGUCGAUGCUUCAGUGAUGUUGUUCUCUUGUCGCAAAAUAUACAGAACGACUCUCGGCAACGGAUAUCUCGGCUCUCGCAUCGAUGAAGAACGUAGCGAAAUGCGAUACUUGGUGUGAAUUGCAGAAUCCCGUGAACCAUCGAGUCUUUGAACGCAAGUUGCGCCCCAAGCCAUUAGGCCGAGGGCACGUCUGCCUGGGUGUCACGCAUCGUCGCCCCCAUCCAACCAUGAGCCCUCGAGCCUCGGUUGGACCGCGGGCGGAAAUUGGCCUCCCGUGCGCUCACAGCCAGCGGUUGGCCUAAAUUCGAGUCCUCGACGACAUCAUCGUCGCGACGAUCGGUGGUAAUGCUGCAAGCAACCUCGUUCGGAGUCGUGCGCGUCCGUCGAUCGAGACCCUUGAACCCUUUCGGCAUCGCAAGGACGGUGCUCGCAUCGCGACCCCAGGUCAGGCGGGAUUACCC